This 736-nucleotide ribosomal RNA is filed under the name uncultured bacterium. RNAcentral describes it as "bacterial SSU rRNA". It matches the Rfam family "Bacterial small subunit ribosomal RNA", at positions 735 to 1482 of the family's 1533-position model. The record is from RNAcentral.
UACAACUGACACUGAAGCACGAAAGCGUGGGGAUCAAACAGGAUUAGAUACCCUGGUAGUCCACGCAGUAAACGAUGAUUACUAGCUGUUUGCGAUACACAGUAAGCGGCACAGCGAAAGCGUUAAGUAAUCCACCUGGGGGAGUACGCCGGCAACGGUGAAACUCAAAGGAAUUGACGGGGGCCCGCACAAGCGGAGGAACAUGUGGUUUAAUUCGAUGAUACGCGAGGAACCUUACCCGGGUUUGAACGUAGGGAGACAGGGGUGGAAACAUCCUUUUCAGCAAUGACUGCCUACGAGGUGCUGCAUGGUUGUCGUCAGCUCGUGCCGUGAGGUGUCGGCUUAAGUGCCAUAACGAGCGCAACCCUUAUUUCCAGUUACUAACAGGUGAUGCUGAGGGCUCUGGAGAGACUGCCAGCGUAAGCUGUGAGGAAGGUGGGGAUGACGUCAAAUCAGCACGGCCCUUACAUCCGGGGCGACACACGUGUUACAAUGGUAAGGACAAAGGGCAGCUACCGGGCGACCGGAUGCGAAUCUCUAAACCUUAUCUCAGUUCGGAUCGGAGUCUGCAACUCGACUCCGUGAAGCUGGAUUCGCUAGUAAUCGCGCAUCAGCCAUGGCGCGGUGAAUACGUUCCCGGGCCUUGUACACACCGCCCGUCAAGCCAUGGGAGCCGGGGGUACCUGAAGUUCGUAACCGCAAGGAUCGACCUAGGGUAAAACUGGUGACUGGGGCU